RNAcentral lists this ribosomal RNA (155 nucleotides) under Escherichia coli. Its description in RNAcentral is "partial 23S ribosomal RNA". It matches the Rfam family "Bacterial large subunit ribosomal RNA", at positions 2788 to 2925 of the family's 2925-position model. The record is from RNAcentral. Lineage: Bacteria; Pseudomonadati; Pseudomonadota; Gammaproteobacteria; Enterobacterales; Enterobacteriaceae.
CGAAACUUGCCCCGAGAUGAGUUCUCCCUGACCCUUUAAGGGUCCUGAAGGAACGUUGAAGACGACGACGUUGAUAGGCCGGGUGUGUAAGCGCAGCGAUGCGUUGAGCUAACCGGUACUAAUGAACCGUGAGGCUUAACCUUACAACGCCGAAG